UUCCACACUGGGACUGAGACACGGCCCAGACUCCUACGGGAGGCAGCAGUAGGGAAUCUUCCGCAAUGGACGAAAGUCUGACGGAGCAACGCCGCGUGAGUGAUGAAGGCUUUCGGGUCGUAAAACUCUGUUGUUAGGGAAGAACAAGUGCUAGUUGAAUAAGCUGGCACCUUGACGGUACCUAACCAGAAAGCCACGGCUAACUACGUGCCAGCAGCCGCGGUAAUAC
This 229-nucleotide ribosomal RNA is filed under the name Bacillus mycoides. RNAcentral describes it as "partial 16S ribosomal RNA". It matches the Rfam family "Bacterial small subunit ribosomal RNA", at positions 306 to 526 of the family's 1533-position model. The record is from RNAcentral. Lineage: Bacteria; Bacillati; Bacillota; Bacilli; Caryophanales; Bacillaceae.